CGGCUACUUCUGUAAGGACCUCAGUGAGGGGUGGAUGUAUGGCAGUUCAGAGACACAAGGAUUGCAGCCCUGGCCAAUACAUCAGCCAAAGAGGAACAGCUUCUCAAGACACAGUGUGCCUUAAUUGCAACCAUGGAACAUUCUCAAAUGGCAACUCAACAUAUUGCCGGCCCCACAAAAUAUGUGAACAUCUGGGACUGGAGCAGUUGAAACCAGGAAGUGAUUCCAAAGAUUCUGAAUAGUUCAUUCAAAGGCGGGGAUAAAAGUGUUUGGGAGGUAUUAGGAUUAAUAGUACUUGGAACACUAAUUCAAGUAGUGGCAAUCUUCGUCCUGAUGCUAUGUCUAUGUAUUUAUAUACAUUGUUUACCACACGUUGAAGGCCUAAAUGCCUCUAAGUUAAGUUUUGUGUGAGGAGGUUGAAUGAUUCCAGUGGUGCUAGUUAUCCAGGUCUGCACCACUUUUUUAAGUAAAACUGAAUGAUGGUGCUACAUUUCAUUGGAAAGAGCCUGGGGGAGACUAACAUUUUGGCCAGCCAAUUGGGUGGGAAUUGAGAUGGGGCGGAUUGGUCAUGACCAGUGUCUCAGGGCAGCUCAAUGCUGCUAGUCUGAAUUCAGCAAUUCAUUCGCUCAGACUUAAUUGGUG
Gadus chalcogrammus (walleye pollock) is the source of this 642-nucleotide long non-coding RNA. RefSeq lists it as uncharacterized. Lineage: Eukaryota; Metazoa; Chordata; Actinopteri; Gadiformes; Gadidae. The record is from RefSeq and is a predicted model, not a curated record. The transcript has 3 exons.